Molecule: long non-coding RNA, 448 nt
Organism: Oncorhynchus tshawytscha (Chinook salmon)
Lineage: Eukaryota; Metazoa; Chordata; Actinopteri; Salmoniformes; Salmonidae
Source: Ensembl
GAAGAUACUGCCAUGUCCUGCCAGCACGCCCACAAGCGAGCCACUCAGGAGCAGAAUGAUGACGUUUGGAAGAGGGAAUGGAAUGAGAUGGGAAAAGUAAUUUGUUUCUCUCUCUUCCCCUAGAUUUUCCCUGACAAACUGGCAACAAGGAUAGGCUGCUAACUCUGCUUGCUGAUUGCUCCCGAGGAGACUGAGGUUACCUGUGGGCAGGGUUGCAUUAGACGUGGCUCAGGGAGCCCACACUCCGACUAAAAUGGAUCAGAAAAGGACCUGCCUUGGACCGGCUGGGAGCGUCAGUGAGUGGAUACGCCAUUCCGGACAGACAAAAUAAAUUAAGGGACAAUAACCCAACCUACCUACAAGCUGUGUAAGGGCUAUUUGACCAAGAAGGAGAAUGAUGGAGUGCUGCAUCAGAUGACCUGGCCUCCAUAAUCACCCGACCUCAACC